RNAcentral lists this long non-coding RNA (203 nucleotides) under Chinchilla lanigera (long-tailed chinchilla). RNAcentral describes it as "lncRNA (ENSCLAG00000025337.1)". Lineage: Eukaryota; Metazoa; Chordata; Mammalia; Rodentia; Chinchillidae. The record is from RNAcentral.
UACAGUUAAGAGCUCAGAGACCCCGAGACAGGUGGAGAGGGAGAAAGGCAAACCAGGAGGAGGAGUUGGAGGAGAGGCCAAGGCUACCAGUGGUUUGUCUGCACCUCUCUACCCAGCAGUCUGGCCAAAGAGUAGUGAUGCCUGGAAUAUGUGGUUUUUGGACUGAAGAGCAGAGCCAUGCAGCCCCAUAACCUGGAUUCUCC